CAAUCUAGAAAAAUAUUAAGCUUAGGGGUACAGAAGAAAAAAAAAGGUUGGGAACCGCUGGCUUAGGGGAACGCGUGGCACUGCAGACAAUACGGAGACGAUAAUAGGUUCGCACGUAUGGAAAAAUCGUUUAUUUUUGUGGUAUUUUUCUACUAAAAAUAUAUGAUUUUAAUAAUAUGUAAAUCAAUAUUUUUAAGAGUCAAUUGUAAUAACAUUAUUUUUGAGUUCCUAAGACAUAAAACGGUAAAAAUUUCCCAGUCAAGAGUUUUAUAUUGAAAAUUAAGAAAUGUUAUACCCACUAAUCACUUAUUUCGAAAGUACGCGAUCGGAAUUUUAUACAAGAAAGGUCGAAGUCGAUAACCACAUCAUAUCGAAAUAUGGAAAUAUUGAAAACGUCUUCAAAAUGAUCAACCUAGGGGCUAGGACCAAUAACAGUAGUAUAUUUCAAAGAUGAAAGUUUAACAAAAGUAACCGAAGAACAAUUAAUUGUUGGGUAGCACUAUCCUAAAAAAAGAACAAAGAUUUAUCAAAAGAUUAUUUCAAAUGUAUACAAAUUCAAGUGACUAGAUAACCGACGAACUACGAAGUGAUUCAAGAGUGGAAUGAUAGUUCAGCGAGCUGCUCAGCUGACGAAUAUUCGUCUUGCUCGCGCAUCCCAUAACAAAACGAGCAUCGCCGAUGACUGUCGAGUGUCCACCAAUCACAGAAUACGACAGAGCGACCGCCGGGGGAUCAGGCAGUGAUCGGCGGCUCAGUCGUCGUGCGUUAAAGUGGCAUAUUCUUAACGUGAACAGAGUAUAGGAACACCAUUUUAUUGAAAUAAUGAUUAUGUUUUUUCACAUGGCAUAUCAUCUUAUACAGUAUUUCUGAUUUCAGUAUUUACAUUAGGUAUAAUAAUUAUCCAAGAGAUAUUGAAAAUAUUUUAAUAUCUGAUAUAAUUGAAAAAUGGGACUUCAUCAAUAGCCUAUGAAAGAACCCCAAGCCUCACCUAAAUGGCUAAAUCUAUAAAUCAAUUACAAGAAAACAAAAUGAAAUUUUAUCACAAUAUAAUAAAUAAAAUUGCAUUAAUAUACAGUAGGUAUACACUAUUGCUACAACUAAGACAUUUUAUGUUAUUUAAUUUUGAGGAAUAAAAACAAGAUGUUACAAUAAAAAAUAUAAAUAACAUUGUUAUACUUCAUUAUGGAAAAAUUAACUUGUUCUUCAAACCUUUCAUAAAUUUAAUGACGAUAAUCUAUUCUGGUUAAGCUUAAGAAACACAGUCGGCUGUCACUUUGUGAGCAGUGGAGGAGCAAUGUUACACGGCAGGUACCUAUAUAUAGAUGACUCUGUGGGGGUAACAAACUGGUGUUGCCUGACUGCCGCCGAUGAAACCAUGUCACCAAAGACUGCAUUUUUUAUUUUGAACUAAGUAUAAUAUUGAUAACAGUUUUUACUGAUAACAAUGUAUUAUUUUCUAAUCACUAUCUAAUAUAUUAUAAUAUUAUAAUACAUUGUUUUAACCUACGUCUCUAUAUUUGCGGUGUAUAAGUGUUUAAUUUAAGACAAUUAAUAACAUUAUAGUUAAUAUAAUAAUAAACAAAGAACCAAAAUAAAUAUUUACUUCUUUUAACAUUGAAAAAUAUUGUUUGUUGGUA
This is a long non-coding RNA of Myzus persicae (green peach aphid), 1637 nucleotides long. RefSeq lists it as uncharacterized. The record is from RefSeq and is a predicted model, not a curated record. Lineage: Eukaryota; Metazoa; Arthropoda; Insecta; Hemiptera; Aphididae. The transcript has 3 exons.